RNAcentral lists this ribosomal RNA (253 nucleotides) under uncultured bacterium. Its description in RNAcentral is "partial 16S ribosomal RNA". It matches the Rfam family "Bacterial small subunit ribosomal RNA", at positions 524 to 776 of the family's 1533-position model. The record is from RNAcentral.
UACGUAGGGUGCAAGCGUUAACCGGAAUCACUGGGCGUAAAGCGCGCGCAGGCGGCUUUGCAAGACAGAUGUGAAAUCCCCGGGCUUAACCUGGGAACUGCAUUUGUGACUGCAUGGCUAGAGUGCGGCAGAGGGGGAUGGAAUUCCGCGUGUAGCAGUGAAAUGCGUAGAUAUGCGGAGGAACACCGAUGGCGAAGGCAAUCCCCUGGGCCUGCACUGACGCUCAUGCACGAAAGCGUGGGGAGCAAACAGG